AUUGAACGCUGGCGGCAUGCCUUACACACGCAAGUCGAACGGUAACGCGCCUUCCUUUUCCGUCUAGUGUCUUACGGGUGCGUAAUACUUCCGAACGUGCCCCAUCCUUGUGUCUAUCGAGUCGCAACCUUUUCUAAUACCUCAUACCAUCUACUGUUUUAAUCCGCGUUCCUCAAUGCCUUGCUCCGCUCUUGCUGUCGAUUGUAGAUUAGUUAGUUGUUUGGGUUAAAGCUUACCAAGCCGACGAUUGGUAGCUGUUCUGAGAGGAUGAUCCGUCACACUGGGACUGAGACACGGACCAGACUCCUACGGGAGGCAGCAGUGGGGAAUUUUGGACAAAGGGCGAAAGCCUGAUCGAGCAAUGCCGCGUGAAGGAUGAAGGACUUCGGGUUGUAAAAUGCUUUUGUAAGGAAAGAAAAGAAUUGUUAUAAUACAGGAGGGUCAUGACGGUACCGAAAGAAAAAGCAACGGCUAACUACGUG
This 482-nucleotide ribosomal RNA is filed under the name uncultured bacterium. RNAcentral describes it as "partial 16S ribosomal RNA". It matches the Rfam family "Bacterial small subunit ribosomal RNA", at positions 30 to 507 of the family's 1533-position model. The record is from RNAcentral.